UACGUAGGGUGCGAGCGUUAAUCGGAAUUACUGGGCGUAAAGCGUGCGCAGGCGGUUCGUUGUGUCGGUGGUGAAAUCCCCGGGCUUAACCUGGGAAUGGCCAUGGAAACUGGCGAACUGGAGUGUGGCAGAGGGGGGUGGAAUUCCGCGUGUAGCAGUGAAAUGCGUAGAGAUGCGGAGGAACACCGAUGGCGAAGGCAGCCUCCUGGGAUAACACUGACGCUCAUGCACGAAAGCGUGGGGAGCAAACAGG
RNAcentral lists this ribosomal RNA (253 nucleotides) under uncultured bacterium. RNAcentral describes it as "partial 16S ribosomal RNA". It matches the Rfam family "Bacterial small subunit ribosomal RNA", at positions 524 to 776 of the family's 1533-position model. The record is from RNAcentral.